RNAcentral lists this ribosomal RNA (460 nucleotides) under uncultured bacterium. RNAcentral describes it as "partial 16S ribosomal RNA". It matches the Rfam family "Bacterial small subunit ribosomal RNA", at positions 338 to 795 of the family's 1533-position model. The record is from RNAcentral.
CCUACGGGUGGCAGCAGUGAGGAAUAUUGGUCAAUGGGCGCGAGCCUGAACCAGCCAAGUAGCGUGAAGGAUGACUGCCCUACGGGUUGUAAACUUCUUUUAUAAAGGAAUAAAGUUAGGCACGUGUGCCUUUUUGUAUGUACUUUAUGAAUAAGGAUCGGCUAACUCCGUGCCAGCAGCCGCGGUAAUACGGAGGAUCCGAGCGUUACCCGGAUUUAUUGGGUUUAAAGGGAGCGUAGAUGGGUUGUUAAGUCAGUUGUGAAAGUUUGCGGCUCAACCGUAAAAUUGCAAUUGAUACUGGCAGCCUUGAGUACAGUUGAGGUAGGCGGAAUUCGUGGUGUAGCGGUGAAAUGCGUAGAUAUGACGAAGAACACCGAUUGCGAAGGCAGCCUACUAAACUGCCACUGACAUUGAUGCUCGAAAGUGUGGGUAGCAAACAGGAUUAGAUACCCGUGUAGUC